UCAUUUUUUACCCAAAUAUAUUCAAAAUUGUCAUUUUUACUUGAGCCUCAAAUGAUUCAGAAGACAUCCGACAUCCGAGCUAUUUCGAACUGCGGGUACAAUCCCUUUAUUUUAUACAACACCUUCCAAUACUACGUAGUAGAGUCUAUUCAUAUUUUGUUUACAUUCAACAAGAAGAGGUUCUGGAUAUUUUGCAACGAUUAAUUUGCAAACUGACUUGCAAACAUUUUCCUUGCACUGAGUUUAUAUUUCAUGCUGAGCCAUCAUAUCAUAAACAAGGAGAAGCAGACAAACAGUUUGAAUAAUUCACCAUUUAUUUUCUUUAGGUUAUUUAUGAGCAGAAGAUAGAAGUUAACCCUCACCGUAAACUUAAUAUUUCUUUGUAAUUUGGUUUUAAUUAUCUAAUUAUUACUUAAUUCGUGGCCGUGUUAAGAAUAUGGCCGAUAUAUAUGAUACUUUUCUUGUGUCACACCAAUAACCUGUUUCACCCAAUAAAUACUUAUUUUAAAAAGAAUUGAGUCUUUCCCACAAAAUCUGAUUUUUUCUUUAUUUUUAUCGUAGACCUUAGUAAAUCAAACUGAGUUCUGUUAGAUCAAAUAAUCUAAGUUUGAAAUAUCAAUAGUUUACACAACCAGUUUGCACAAAGAUAUAGUUAUUAGAAAAUUUAACCUUUUGGCAAAGAUUCAAUUCCUUACUCAUCUUGAUAGAAAUGAUGAAAAUCAUUUGUUGGACACUGGACAUCUAAGUAAAAAUUGUCUCUUCAAGUUAGAAUAUUAACAAUUAUUUUGUAUUAAACUCUGAAAAUGUUUUAUCAUUAAUCGGGAAAUAUCCGAUUAUUAAAAUAUAAAAGAUAAAUAUUUUGAAUUAUCUAGAAUCUGAAAUCUGUUAUUAUUCAUGAUUUAUCUACACUCCAGCUGAAUCUUGAUAAGGAAUGUUUAAAAUAAAUUUGUCAAUACUUUCUUUCCCUUUGAAUAUUUCUAAUGUUUCCCCCCCCCCUUCCCACUUAUGUUAAUCCCCCUCCUUCAUUUUUACCAUCUUACUGAAUCUAGCGAACGCCUCCACCCCGCAGACCCGCAUGCUUAUCAAAUUCUUGACACCUUCUUCUCUUCUUGGAAACCCCACCCCCCACCCUAAUCUAAUCUAACCCCACCCCUUUCCCAAUACAAUUUUAACAAUCCCUUCUUCUCCAACCCAUAGAACCUAUUAGAAAUGUGAUAUUAGAAAUUUUUGUUGUUGAAUAUUUUUUAUCUCAUCGUCAAAUUAACGAUUAGUCCCUUUAAAUAAUUUGCAUGUAUUUGCACACUGCACUGGAUACACAAGAUGAUAAUGUAAAUAAUAAUUAGUAUUAUAUAUAUUAUAUACAAAAAAUUAAAUAUUCGAAGAUUU
Eurytemora carolleeae is the source of this 1386-nucleotide long non-coding RNA. RefSeq lists it as uncharacterized. The record is from RefSeq and is a predicted model, not a curated record. NCBI's taxonomy places the organism in Eukaryota, Metazoa, Arthropoda, Copepoda, Calanoida, Temoridae. The transcript has 2 exons.